UUAAGUGCUUUGACUUGUCAAGCAUUGUGCCAAAUAAUUGUCUGACACCAUUCUCCUUUUACCAUUAGUAGCAAUUCAAGAUGGGGCAAAGACACUGCCACUAAACUGCUGAAUGUAACAACCAGAUUACUCCAAGCUGAUCCAUUUUGCUAUUUUGUGGGGAGGGCUUAGACUUUUCUCUUUAAAAGUGAAAUUUAACAAAAUAGCCUUGCAGAUGGGCUUAUCUAUAAGUUCUACAGGUUGGUUAAAAUUUGUGGUGGGCCUUUAGUUAGCAGUUUACAUUUUAUUUAUUUUUUUUUAUAGGCUGCGUGAAGCUCAGGAAAAGAGUAGGCAGGUUAAAAUUUGUUUUUAAUGAGUUGAUACUUUUUAGAAACCUUAUCUGCAAAAAUUAAUGAGAACAACAAAUUCCACAUGAUGUUAUUUCUUCAUCUAGCUAAGAGUACAUUUAAGGCUGCCUGGAUGAAACUUUGCACUGAUAUUUGUAUAAUAGUUGAUCAUUCACUAUUUGACAAAUUGUUUCAGAAUGCCUUUGAUAGUGAAGUUUAGAUAAGUCCCUAUGUUUUGCAGUUUUACAGAUAAUUAUUUAACAAGUUGGAUAGAUUCAUGAAAUUGUUUGAAGUGGUUCAUACUGUUCUUUCAGGUUUGAGUGAGAUGUCUGAUUUCAGUGUCUGAAGUUUUGUCCUAUGGAGCAUAUCAUUUAAAGAAUUGUCAUUAACUGAUAAAACAGAUUGGAAAAACUAGGUGCCAAAGGUGUAUUUAAGAAAAUACCAAAGACUCAAAGAUGAGUGUUAGGAAGACUAUGAUAAUGAAGAUAAGAAUCUAAAGUAAGGAUUGCCUAGGACAUAGAAGAACAUUGUUAAAGGGGUUUGGAAUGAUUUGCUUACUAAUGUGCUUUCAGAACACUUUGUACAUAAUAAUGGUAAUCAAGGGCACUGCUUUAAAUGAAGAUACUACAGACCUUUAGGAAUCAUAUGCCUUGGAAAACAAUCUAUGUAUGGUGACUUGUCAACAAAGUAUCUUCCCUAGUUGGAUGCCAACUUGUAACCAAGAAGACUUUCUUCUAUUCAAGAGAAAUUUGGUUUUAGUUUUGAUUCAAUACUUGGUCCCUCUAACUAAUUACUGGGGUGAUUAACAUGAAUUCCGUUGGUAUAAAGAGUAUUGGUUCCCUAAUUAGCCUGCAUUGUUGAAGACCACAUAGAUGUAUUAUUGAUAAGACUAUGAGGCUUACGUUUAAUUACUCAAUCAAAAUUACGAAGAAAUGCUUUAGAAGAAAGUAAAAAAUUAUAAUUUAGGUUAAUUUUUAAAGGCAACUUAGUAUAAAUGACAAGCUAGCUUUGAAAUACAGAUUUAAAUGUUUAAAAAUUAAUUUGAGGGCAAGAUUUGGUACCAAAGUUUCAAAAAUUUUAUUUCACUGCUUAUAAAAUACUUUAUCAGAACACUUCUUUUAAAAAAUAACAUCUUAUUUGAAAAACUCCAAAUUUGAUGGGAUAGUUACACCAUCAUACAAUUUUGAAGGUAGAAUUAGCUUUCUAAUACUUUAAAAUAUUUCCUGAAAUGAACAUUUCACUUGGUUUAGGACCGUGUCUAUAAGUAAAAGACACCAAUGCUAAUAGAUAUGACUUACAAAAAUGCCACAUAUCGAAAUUGAUUGAGGAUUGAAAUAUAUAUACUUUGGCAUAGAGAAGAGAGGAAGAGAAAAAAAUAUCAAAAAAGUGUGACAUUGUAAUAUUUAUUGUGUUUAAUAAAUCUUGAAGAAAGAACUCUUGAGCAAUGAACCAGUGACAGAUAUAAAAGCCUGUUUUAUUUGAUGACAUCAUUAACUGAGUUUUCUCAUCUAUACAUUCAUACAUCGAGAAGGAACUGUCUUAAAAACCAGUGGUUUUUUUUUAAGUUCUAGCAUACAUGUGCAGAAUGUGCAGGUUUGUUACGUAGGUAUACACGUGCCAUGGUGGUUUGCUGCACCCAUCAACCUGUCAUCUACAUUAGGUAUUUCUCCUAAUGCUAUCCCUCCCCAGUGAUAUUUGUUAAUAUGCUUUUUUAAAAAAGUGUCUGCCUUGAAACAGGUAAUUAAAAAAUAUCUUGUAGGGCAUUUAAUUAUUUUUCCCAAUAAACAACUCAUAGAUAAGGGGUUGACUAAUGUUAUCUUGAUUUAGAAAAUUUGUAUGUAAACUGUGUAAACUUGUCUGAGUGAACUAAUAGGCUACCGGGGUUUUAGCAUGGCAAACUGAUACGUAGGGAGACCCAAAUACAGGCUUGCUUUGCUGACUACCCAGCGUGCUUUAUUACAGGAGAUGCAAAAGGUGGAAGACCAGUUACAACUUUUUUUUUUAAACCUGGACAUCCUUUCUCUGGUGACAAGAGCCGUCCUUAUGAUAAGGAAGUAGAGACGGGGUUUCACCGUGGUCUCGAUCUGCUGACCUCGUGAUCCGCCCGCCUCGGCCUCCCAAAGUGCUGGGAUUACAAGCGUGAGCCACCGCACCCGGCCACUUCGGUAUUUCUUAACACCAGGUACUGGAGCCCACCUUCCUUCUCUCCCUCUGGUUUCCUCUUUAAAUCACAGCCUGACCCCAGUCUUUAUAGUCCAUUGUUAAGUGGAAGUUAUAGUUCUAUUCUUCACCCACACCUUGCUCCCUAUCAUUGAUACUUAGAGGAAAGUAACAAUUUGCAGUACUGGCUGAACUCCUUUGGGAAAGUUUCUGGAGUGUAUCAAACAAGAAUUCAUCAUAGUAACAUGGUCAUUACUGGCUGAACAAAAUUCUUUUUGAAGCUAUUGUACUUAGUCAUCAAAUAAUUGUUUACUAAGGCAAUUUUCAUGUUUCUAGAAUUCAGUAUAAUAGUUAACAGUUGUGUAUGUCUCACAAAAGAAACUACUUAGGUUGGAAACAGUGGAAGGUUGUGUAUAAUUAAUUCAAUCAGGUCAUGAAUAUUUAUGUAACAUAUGGCAUUUUAAUUUAUAUGUUCUUAUUCUCAUAUUUCAUUACUAUACAGCAGCAACAAGAUAAAUUUCAGGUUUUUUGUUUCUUUAUUAAUUGGGCCAUGUCUAAAAGUUGUUACAUUCCUGGUUGAAUAUUACGGACAAAAUUUCCCCACUAAAGUAGUUUUGUCUUUCUCAAGGAUUAUCCUUUAGGGUUGGGUGGAUUAAAAACAUGACAUUAGUUCUUCUUGAGCAUACAAGUCACUAGGGAUCUUGUGAAAAUACAGAUUCCUUUUAGUAGGUUUGGGAUGAGGAAUGAAGGUCUUCAUCUCUCAAAUCUCCCAGGUGAUGUGGAUGCUGCCAAUCCAUCGACCACACUUUGAGUUGGGAGAUUCUACAUCUUUUGAGAAACAUGCACACUGAAGCCUAUACUCUUAAACUCUCAAAGACUCUGUGUUCAUGUCUGUGUUCUGCAAGAAUUUUUUUCUUUUAAGAAAUAAACUGCAUAAAGUAAAAUCAGAAAACCACAACACUGGUUUUCCAAAUUUGCCACAAAUACUAUAAUACUCUGUAGAGUAAAAUGCAAAGAUUAUUCCUCUUACAAGUUUUCUCUAUAUCAAGUGCAGGAAAGGAACAUGGGUAGAGUCAUGUAGCAUUCUUAUCAGUCAGGAGAUGACACGUGGUAAAUUUCUCUUCCUGAUUUUCCUCUUGAUUAUACUCACAUAAGGGAGCUCCAUUUGGUAACAAAGAUGAAAUUCUGUUCACAGUUAACAAGAAUUUAGCAAUUUCUUGCUUGGCAAAAUCUGAGACAACCUUACAAAAACAUCCUACAUUAAAUUCAGAAUUUUGGGUAGCUGCAUAAGCUGAAGAUUAUGGAAAACCCGAGCUGAAAAUGGCACCUGGAUCUGUAACUUCAUGUCUUGAACUCUUUUUUGAGCUUUAUUCUGUGAGAUCUUCCCCUACAGUGAUUUUUCUAUUUCUCCUCAGUCGCUGGGGUCUCAGUAAGGGGUGGAGGAUUGGUGUAAAUGAGAGAGUCACAUAAAUUGUCUAAUUUGAGCAUGCCAAGUGAUUUUUGUCAGGCUCUUUUGGUCAUAAAAUUUUGGUAUAGCUAUUGUGAAAUAUAGUGUCAUAAAUUUGUCAUAAACCAUUAAUGAAGGAAGAGAAGCAGAAAUUUAUUUCUGUGGGAAUGCACUCAAAUAUCAAGCAGAUGGUGUUCUACAACAUUUAUUUGGGAAAAUGUGUAUCUGUUACAUAAUCUAAAAUAUGUCUUUUUCACAUUUAAAAAUAUUUGGGUCAUGAUUUAGAGUUUUUAUUGGAUUGUUUUUUAAACUGAGAGGAAGAAGAAAGGUAAUUGUAUUUUAAAACAUUUGACAUGUUACUAAUAAAAUUUUAUUUCUGGUGAAA
Symphalangus syndactylus (siamang) is the source of this 4318-nucleotide long non-coding RNA. RefSeq lists it as uncharacterized. The record is from RefSeq and is a predicted model, not a curated record. Lineage: Eukaryota; Metazoa; Chordata; Mammalia; Primates; Hylobatidae.